GCUUGGGGCCUGGGUGCGGGCGGCCCCGGGUGGAGCGCCCCGCCCUGCCCGCCCCCGCGCAGCGGGCUGGUUACUGAGUAACCUGCCGCUCAGGUUGCUUGCCUGCCGGGGCCGACGGACCGCGGGGAGCACUGGGGAGCACCGCCGGGGAGACCGCUGGGCGACCUCCAGGGGCACCGCCGGGAGCACCGCGGGACCGGGCAGCGACGCGGGCGCAGGUAAGGGGGUCCACGGUGAGGCGGAGGCCCAGGGGACACUGGCCGGGAUGCCCCGUGAGUAGACAGUCCAGUGGGUGGGUCCUGGUGUGGGCGGGAGGCAGCCUCUGCUCCCUGAGGACCCCUGCCCGGCACCUGGGCCAGGCAAGGAGCCGGGGGUCCUGGUGGCAGCCCCUGCGGCUGUGCGGGGCCUC
Molecule: long non-coding RNA, 409 nt
Filed under: Dasypus novemcinctus (nine-banded armadillo)
Lineage: Eukaryota; Metazoa; Chordata; Mammalia; Cingulata; Dasypodidae
Description: lncRNA (ENSDNOG00000050136.1)
Source: RNAcentral